Lepisosteus oculatus (spotted gar) is the source of this 119-nucleotide ribosomal RNA. The record is from Ensembl. Lineage: Eukaryota; Metazoa; Chordata; Actinopteri; Semionotiformes; Lepisosteidae.
GCCAGCAGCCAUGUCACCCUGCAACUCACAACUGGCAACCCACUGAAGCUAAGCAGGUAUGAGCCUGGUCAGUACCUGGAUGGGAGACCUCCUGGGAAAAACUAAGGUUGCUGCUGGAA